UCCAACUUUUGAGUUAGCCGAAAGCUAACAUUGCAGCGGUGGAACUUGCGUUUGAUAGGCUGCACGUCAUCAUAACCUAACCAGUAAACGCCACUCUGAUUGGCUGAGGGACCACGUCAUCAUAACCCAAGCAGUAAACGCCACUCUGAUUGGCCGAGGCAACAAGCAUUUGGCGCGUACUGCUGAAGCAAGUGGCUGCUCGGCUCUGUUCAGCUUCCAUCAAAUCAAAGCGAUCCAAAAUCAUCGUUUUCUACUCAGUUGAAGGUGGCGUGCGGUGUCUCCUUCAUUUUGGAUGUGGAGUGAGGUAUCCUGCCCUUUAGGAGCACCUAAACAAGAUGGCUUUAAGGAUGAGAGAAGGG
Long non-coding RNA from Sinocyclocheilus grahami, 359 nucleotides. RefSeq lists it as uncharacterized. The transcript is spliced from 3 exons. Lineage: Eukaryota; Metazoa; Chordata; Actinopteri; Cypriniformes; Cyprinidae. The record is from RefSeq and is a predicted model, not a curated record.